Long non-coding RNA from Pseudopipra pipra, 8446 nucleotides. RefSeq lists it as uncharacterized. NCBI's taxonomy places the organism in Eukaryota, Metazoa, Chordata, Aves, Passeriformes, Pipridae. The transcript is spliced from 2 exons. The record is from RefSeq and is a predicted model, not a curated record.
GCUCAAGGAACAUGGUAGAAAAUAAAUGCAAAGCCAGUGCUAGAGGAGUAGUCAUCACUGUCUUUGCCAUUACCUGACAAGUGUUCAAGUAUUUCCCAGGUAAUUCUUAUCAUGGAAAAUCAAACUCACUGGUGAAAUGGGGAAAGGUUCACAUCUAAUCGGUCAGUUGAUAACCCCAUUGCCAAGUGUAUGUGCUGCCUCAAACAAAGAGUGCAGAUUAAGUUGUGGCCAGUUUCUGGCUUUUUCCAGUGUCACUGUUGGGAUACUUUUACCUACCAAACAUACCAAGUAUAUUCAGACCAAGGCAGAAGGCCAGCCUGUCCCCUUGCUGCCUGACCAGCUGCCUGUUCCACUGUAAGAUAUAGUUCUGAGCAGUGCAUGUAUGUUUCUGUGUUGGAGGGAAGUAUGUAGCAGAAUUAUUUAUUUACUCGAUUGUGUUUCCAGAGAUGUCUGGAAGAUAGUCCAUAUGCCUGCAAGAAGUCUCAAGAUAAGGCUAAGAUUAUAACCCUAGCAAACAUGAGUUCAUAUUUCCAUUUUGACAUAUAUUCUCUUAUAUUUCAGCAUCACAACAUUGUCCCCAGUGACCUAUAUUUUAGGUCUAAGUGGGAAGUGUGUAAACACCUUGGAGAUAUGCAACAUGAUGCCACAUUAUGGGAGAAGGGGACACAGGUGAUCUGAUCUCAGAAUAUGACUUUACAUGCCAGGACUGAAGAUGGUGAGGUGGGUCAAGUAAUGUAAUAAUGGUCAGAAACAUUCUAAUUGUAAGUAUACUGCCAAAAAAAAACCCGAUUCCCUUCUCCAAAGGGGAAACCCUAGCUUUCUUCGGGAUCCUUGUUUCACGCACUCUGCAUCUCACACUUGUGUCCAUAAAUGUUUCCUUGUGAUCAGCCACCAUUUGCAGAUCUGUGUCCCUGACUGCCAGUCAUUCCUGCAUUUCUUGCGGAGAUCACACCAAGGACAGGCACAUGCAGUAAGUGUAGUUGGAAAAGUGCACUUUCCCUCAGCCAGCUACUAUUUCACAUGUAUUAGCCACCGGAGCCUGUGGUUUGGCAUCAGCAGCCACAGCACAAACUUCCUCCUAUACACAGCAUUAGCAGUUGUCUAAUCAACAUGAAAAUGGUUACCUAAGCCUGGCACAGGGCCAGUUCAUGCACUGGGCCCCUCUCUGGUUUACUAUACAUUAUUGGUCAGAGCAAGCUCUUCAGAGGGCUCCAUGCAGGCCUCAUUCCCUAUGCAAUAACUCUGUAGCUGCUCAUCACCUCUACUCUAGAUCUUGAUGCAAUUUCACAACCCUGUGGCACCAGAGACCUCAACUGGCAAGGGCUGAGGCAAACAACAGCUGUCUCCAUUCAGCUAUGUCAGCAGCAACAUUUCUUUGCCAGGACCUAUCACCGUCAAGUAAGGGUUAAAAAAGACCUCUACUGAAAUGCCCUUCAUGGCUCGAGCCUUCUGCGUGCAUCCUUCUGAAAUAACAUCACAGUCCAAAACAGGAACAGCUCAUUCACUGGUGCAGGAUCCUUGGGCAGCAGCUGGAGAGGACACGAGAGAAAAAGCUGAAUCAGAAGCAUUUUAUUUUUGGUAGUUUAAUAAUGGACUAGGAAUGUCUGUGAGCUAGAGUUGAGGACAGACAAACAUGUCUUUCCACAGCACACAGUGAAACAGUUCCUUAGGUACUUCAUACUGAUGAUGCUUUGAAGUCCUAGCCACUUUCCCAAAACUCUUCAUGUGGACUUGCAUCUAGAACUGUGAAUCAAAUGUGUACUUUUGGGCAAGUUUGGUUUGUCUGGGUAUCCACACCCACAUUAUGUAAGCCAGGGUAAAUCCUACAGUGAGAAAUGGGCAGAAGUAUAACUUGGCAGAGCUGCAAAUGUGUGGCAGAACUGAAAGCAAAGCAGCAGGUUUCCCGAGUCCCAGAGCUGCUUUGCAGUCAGAAAAGGGCAAAGUAAUAACACCACUAGCUUGAUUUCAGUUUCCCCGUUAGCCCGCUGCUUUUGCCUUGGAGGUAUACAAAGUGCCUGUAUGGAUGUACACGUUCCUGUAGUUUUGUAGGUAUGGGUUUUUUCUUUAAAAGAUGGCAUGCCCAAGCAAGGCCUUUGGUUUACAAUGUCCUUCAUCUGGCCAGAAGGAGUUGCUGCAGCUUCCACAGGCCAUGCCAGGGCAGAGUAAACUUUAUGUCCCAUUGGCAUAAGGAAGAUGGGCUGAAAGCUACUCUAGGAUAGUCUGAAAGCAUGGCAAUGCUUCUGAAAAUGCUAUUUUGUUAAGGUCCUGAGUCUUGUUGCUGGACAACAUAGACACUUAUGAGGCAAGCCAGCGUGUCCUUCAGAAGACUUAAUCUGUACCAUGAACAGAGCAACUCUUAUACAUGUACCACUGCGAGUAUAACCUUGUAAAAAGGAGCAUGGAAAAAUGUCAAGAGUGUGUUUAGAUAAGUAGUUUCAACUAGAAAAAGUAAGUUUGCUCAGCGCGGUUUAUUUACGAUCUGAACAUUUGAGAGCAUUACAAGCGUCUACUUGAUCAACAAAAGAAGAAACCACUCUGUAUUUGCACGGUCUUGUACUAACCUCCCCUUUCCCAGUAAUUCUCAAACCAAUGGCUAUUUUCAUCCAGAGACCUAGUAGAGAUGGAGCAGUACAAUCUCCAUCAGCUGGAGGCCUGGCAGAGGAGAAGGGCUUUGCUGUGAAGUCUGGCCUCAUUUUCACUCCUGGGUCUCUCAACUCUAACCAAUUUUCAUGUUCUCACUUCUUGGCCACUCCGCAGCUGUGUCAGACCAGCAGGCCCCAGCAGGGAGGCCUUGGAAGGGAGUCCAAGCUACACUGGAAGGAGGGGGGACAGCAGGCAUUGAAGGAAGAAGGGUUUGAAGAUAUAAAGGCAAUAGGGGACAUGGAGAGAGGGUACAGGGAGACUAUUAUAGUAAGGGAAUGCAGAGAGGAGAGCGGAGGCUGUUACAGGUUUUGCUGGUUUUGCUGCCUGCUACAUCCUUAUUUGACAUGUGAAAGGAAUGCGAAGGUGCAAGACAACAGGAAUUAAUAAAUAAUCAGUGCUUUUCAAUUCCAAGGGUUUUAUAAACGUUAAUGAACCUUCAUGAGCUGUUAGAGAGGUAUUUAAGCCGUAUUCCAUUUUCACAGAUAAGGAGAUGAAAGCUCUGGCUCAAGUCCAAAGUUUUCAAAAGCAGAAACUACUUUUAAGAGCUCCCCUUGACAUUCAGCACCAGAACUCCAAAAGGAUUGAUUUCACAGUUGCCAUCACUGUCAGCUGUAUCCUGAUUACUUCUGCAAAGCUAAGUCUAAACAUGCACACUCAAAAGGAGCAUUAGCUUCUGGAAAUUCAGGCUCUGUUGCCUUGUUGUUUUCCCAAAGUAUAUAAGAGAAACUAGUUUAUGAGAGAAAUAGAUAUGUAAAAACAUUUACAUUUUUUACUACUGGACCAUGACAAGAAUGGAAACAAAGACUUUGCGGGCUUAAAACACUUACAGAAAGGGCAAAGUAAAACAAAGAUUUUAAAAAAAGACUUCCAAGUACACCCAUUCAUCUGUGCAAAUGGGAAGGGAAGCAGAGCAUGUUUUUAAAUCUUUCUACAUCUCCCAUAAAGACUAGGCAGAUGGUUUAGGUGCAUUUCUGUAAGUGUCUGAUGAAUAUUUUAUUCCUGAAAGGAAUACAAAACAUGAAUGUGUAUGUAGUCACCAGCUUCACUGAAGUGAGGGAGAAACAACAUAGGACUUCAUUAGAAACCAUGUGAAUUGGUAGUCCAGAAAAGAAAAAAAAAUUUUUUUAUGGUAGUAUAAUAAAAAAAAAAAGGGAAGAGACAGUUAUAGAUAUUUUCUUUGGAAUUAUGCCUUCUAAUUUUAAUUGUUCUGUGGCCAUGAAAAGAUGGACAUCUUGUUUGCCUAGCUGCAGAAACAUAGGUGCAGAAAAAGCCUUCAAAUUCUGUUGAAAUGGCAGGUGUCACAUUUAAAUUAGCCAGCAGCCAAAACAGGAGAUCACAGAGCUUAUGAGGAUCAUAGGAGAGAAUAUAGCAGUCAGCUAGAAGCAGAAAUGUAGUGCUGAUCAGAGGGAGCAGGUUCAAACCCAGUCCUAGGCAUCUGCAGCACAACUCCUACCCAGCAAUAUCAGCAAUGUGUCAAGCACAGUCUCAGCAUAACCAUAAGUGUCAUAUCAGAUCAGUGGGAAGAUGUAAGAAUCACAACAGAAAUGCUCCUUUGGGGAUCCCCAGUGCAUAAAAAAGAGUAAAAAGUUGCCAGAAAAAAGUAUCUUAAAAGAGUCCCUCAAAGGCACUUACACAUUUUAAAACUUGUCUCAAAGCGCUGACAAUUCUGUGACAACCAGGCUUGUGCUGUGACACAGUUUUGCCACUCUUACAGCUGCAGCUCCCCACAGGCAGUUUGAAAUCCUCAGGAGGUAAGCAGGAGUGGUGGUUCCUCCUUACACAUUCUGAUGCACCCUGGCACCACUGGCGGCACCACCGGCAGCACCGGCAGUCCCAGCGUGGUCACUCUGGUGCCACUUGGGUGAUAACAUGGCGCUGAGCCCUGUGGUGGGAGAUGCUGACUCUCUGCAGCUGCCAAACAGGUGGGCAGGAUUCACAAAAAUGGGAGAGAAUAGAGUUUUAUGUGGCUUCAAGCUGGUGGUAGGAUCCCUGAGCGCACAGAGUUAUGACAAAUCCCAUGGAACAGGAGUACAGCAUCAGACCCUGUGGUACACAGGCAGGAUGCAGACCAUAACAACUUAAAGGGAACAUAACAUACUUUCACGUGUUUCUGUUCUGCAACUCUCAUGUGUCCUGAGUCAUCUCUUACUGAGCAAAAGGCAUGGUUAAUUCACAGUUUUAAAAGGUCUUACUGUCUACAUGAGAUGAUAUUCCAGGGAAUGGUUGCUCAAAGGAAAAACAGGGUAAGCACCUAAAAAAAUUUUUAAAACAACAAGAACCUCUGGCUCCAAGUGCAGCAAAGCAAAAUGGAAAUUCUUCCUGCUUCCUAGGACAUAUUUUUAGCUAAGGCAGAUGGUAGAAAUACCACUGCUCAUCUUUAUACAGAAACAAGAUGGGCCGCUAUAAACAAUACUGGCAUACAUUUGGAGGUGGUUUGGGUUUGGUUUGGUUUUUUUUUCCCCAAAUCACCUAAGUAUUGCUGAACUCAUGAAGGUUUUUUGAUCUUGGAAGAUGAAUUAGGAUGGGGAUUUUGGAUCAGGAAACAGCCCUGGAGGAAGCUGCUGCUAACAGCAGCUAACAGUGGCCACUCCACUUCAGGCUUCCUUUGAGACUGCCUAGGACAAGUCAAUGCCAGCAGCUGUAUUUUCAGUAGCGUGUAGUGCAGCAAUACCUUUUUCCUAUCAAGGUCAUUUGCUUUUCCUGCUGAAACACCACUGCUCUACAGAAAAUUACAAUUAGAAAAUGGGCAGGUCACAACCUCUGUUUAGGAAGUUUUGUCUUUUCUGCUCUGGGCUUUUCACCUUGUCACAGGUUAUGGGGCUUUUGCACCUUUACUUCUGACUCUGCCCCUUUUGUUCUUGGCCCCACUAAUUUGCUCUGUUGUUCAAGAUCUUGUAUCACCGAGAUACAAAAAUUCAUUACAUUCCAAAAGGUAUAAAAAUCACUGUCUGUUUGAUUCAUUCUCCUUUAAGAGUGCCAAUGCAUUUUGGGAUGCCAACUCUUCCAUUCCCACUACAAUAUAGCAACUAUGCCAAGCCAAAAAUAAAUGAUAUUUUUGGAAUGCAGUUUCUUAUAGAAGGUGGGGCAUUCCUCUUCUUUUGUAUCAGAAUGAUUUUAGUGUCUUAUCUCAAUGUCAGACUGGGUAAUGUAUAAAAAUCCCAAGAAGUUGUGGUCUACCCAUAGUUAUGUCUUUGAGAAUGAAAAUACAUCUUAGGUGAGGGGUCAGAUCCCUAGAGGAUGGACAGGGAGGGUAUCCUGGGUGUUGACAUGAGUAAUAUCUUCCUUCCAUCCUAACAGAAGCAAUCAACAGCAUCUUCUCUCAGCUUCCCAGGGUCAGUACUAAUGGGAUUGAGCAAGCUGCUGUGAACAGGAGUCUUCUGCACCUACUGAAGAUGGAGAGGAAAGCCGGUGUAAUUCAGCUCUGGCAAAGUGCAGAAGCAUCAUUAAGCACUGGUGGGGAGGGUGUCAAGUGAACAGGGCAAGUUGUGGUCACACUCCUCUGCUUUUCUUUGCAGAAACAGUGGCCAUGAAGGCCCUGUCUGGGUUCCCUCUCUAUCACCUGUGUGCUCUGCAGGGAUCUGCUGUAUGUGAGUUAAGAGCUAAGGGACUGGGGUUUUUCCUCCAGCAUUUUGGAGAACUGGAAGUUUAGUGAGACAAGAAAAAAGCUGGAGUUUACUGCCUUAAACCACUGUAUGCAUUAUUUUAAUCACAUGUCCCAAGAGAGGCUGUUUUCUUAGGAAAUGUUUGUUAAACACCUUGAAAUGUGAUAACCUUUCCAGUGUCACAGUAACUGUGUGGUUCCCAGAAGAGGUUUUACAGACCUAAAUUGCAGAAGUGGGUUUUGCAACUGGAAGCGAGGGAGUGAUGCAGCAAGUAAAAUAAGAAGUAGAAUCAGCAGUACAAUCAUUUUGGAUAUUGCUUUUCUAAAUACUUCAUCAAAAGACCUGGUACUUUAAAUAUAAAAAUGCACACUACAAUGUUGUUGACAGGGAAAAAGCCAUGAAAUGUUAUUGCAUAAAACUGUGAGUCAGGACCUCUAAUGUGUUUUUACGGUGUUGCCUAUACCUUAAUUACACUUGCUCCUGACAGUGUAUUAUAUCUUCUUACAUCUUCAUUAUUGCACAGGCAUUAAUUUAAUCAGAGAUAAUGAAUGAAACCUCUGGAAUUAAUUACAGGUCGUAACAGUUUUGUUACUUUACUAGAACAGGCAGGAAGACAAAAACAUAUGGACCCAUAAACAUUAACUGGCUUUUGCAAUCCAGCCAUUACAGGAGAAAGACAAUGAAGAUUAAAUUACUUGGAGAUGUAGCUGAGAAUGCUCAGGCAGUUUUUGGUGUUUCUGAAACUCAGCAGUUCUCGGUGGGAUGACCUUGACUACUACAUUUCUGGGAUCCUUUCAAGCUCAAAUGUAUCUUGCGUUUGAAUCUAUUUCACAGAUCUAAGUUUAAGAACUGCUUUUGCAGAUUCCUGGGAUCUGAUCUGUCUGGAAGGAGGGGUCUUUGCAGUGUUGUUUCAAUGGAGGCAUGUUGCCAGCAGUUGGGAUCUGCGUGUGAAUUCCUGUGAUUUCCCUUUGGCCCGUCUUGUUUCUGCCAAAUUUGAAGUGGACUUUCUGUGAGUGAGAAGGAAACAUGGCCCCUUUCCAACAGCACAAUGUCUGUGAGGGUGUCUGACAGGAAAAAACCUUGCAGAGGAGCCUUUCAAAGCAUCUUAAAAAAUCCCCUCUUGUAGGGGAUUUCUUAUAGUGAAAAAAAGUCAUUACCUGGUCAUAGGAAGCAGAGGGUAUCUUGCUUGGUUGCCUUAUCUUUGUGAUCGCAGAGUUACAUUAGAAAGUAAUUCCAUCUUAAAUGAAAUUAUUUAUCUUAUACUAUUUUCAAAAUGUCUCUAGUCCCUUGGUGCACUAUUCAUGGUAAAAACUUCUCUGAACAAUUUGAUUUGCUUAGUAGGCUUAGUAUUUAAUGUAAAGUUUCCUCUUUUUUUUAAAUAUCUUAUUGCAUUUAGUGAAUUACUUUUUUUUAAUGCAAUAAAUACAUUAUGUUUUGUUUAACACACUGAUCCUUGCAGGCAGCUAUUUUGUGUUCUACUUCAGUUAUCACUUUUCAGACGAGCUACACGUAUAUCAGAUCCAUUCAAUGUGAGCUCACAAAUCAACUUAAAACCCUUAAUAAUUUCUGUUGAUCUUUUCUUAAACUGUCUCCGCUAGAUCUACAUUGCUCAAAUACUGAAGUACUCUGAAAUUAAUAUGAUAUAUCAAGAAUGAUAUGAUAUAUCCCCUCAGUCUUCUGUAGAGGACUGUUAUCUACCUCGUCUGUGUUGGGGAUUGUCUCCACAAUGCAAGAAAUAUAAUUCUACAUUACAUGGAAAGCCUGGCAGUCUUAGCAGUGGGGGAUUUUGGAUCUUGAGAGUUCUUUCAAGGGUGACCCAGUGCUUGGAGCAGUGUCCUGAGGGCUUAAGGCUGCUGCUGGGUGCUGACAAUGUGUGUCACUAUAUCUGCUCCUUAGUUCAGUGUAGGUAGGAGAUAAGGUCUUUUCAAAAUCAAGCCACAUAUCAAUAUGGUGAAUCUGAAGAUCUGUGGCUUCAUCUCCUCAGAAAAGUCCCUUCCCUGCUCUCAGAGUGCUCAAUGGUUUCCUGCCAGGGGGCUGUGGACCUCUGCAUUGCUGGAUGGCUUUAGGGUGACAUGUCAGACUUGAAGGGGACAUGCCACUAAGAAAAGUAAAUGUAUCGAUGCCUGUUGGCAACUGGUCUACAGGAGGCUGAAGCCAUAGUGGAAAAAUUUGGGGCUGCAGAAAAUAAAGGGUUGAAAACA